Molecule: non-coding RNA, 232 nt
Organism: Python bivittatus (Burmese python)
Lineage: Eukaryota; Metazoa; Chordata; Lepidosauria; Squamata; Pythonidae
Source: RefSeq, a predicted model, not a curated record
GCAUCGAAUGAGGGCUCGGCGCGAAGAGCUUAACGGAGGCAGGACCGUGAGGCUUUUCUCAGCUGCACUUUCUCAACAGCUUGGUAGCUAUCUGGCUUGGAUCCAAACCACACAAGGUUGGCCCAGUUGCUGCCAUCUGAUGAGGUGCUGCCGCUUACACAAGCAGGAAAAACUGAGAUCAGGUUCACUGUGAAGAUUCCCUUUGAAAUUGACUAUAAAGCUCCAAAUUCAA